GCAGGAUGGUAUUUAUCAUUACAUUUGCAACGAUCGAGAGAAAGGAAAUACAUAUCCCGGAAAAUGGAACUCAGUAUUGUUUCCUUUUGAAACUUGGGGGCGGGUCACAUCCGAACUUUAAUGGACAACCAGGAAUUUACCAACCUCCAAGUCCCCGAGCCCCACCUCUCCUGGGUUUCAGAAUUCCUAGCAUAGAACACCUUCUUGCAAGUAUAUGUUGCCUGACAAAGAAUUCUAAUUGAAUUAUGGAAAAAAAUUAUCAUGAAACUUGUGGAGGCUAUAAUGGCUUUAAAAAGUCAUUUUAUGAACUGAGGUCCAAAGAAUGAAGACAUUCUAUUCCAAUGGAUAGACUCAAGGACAAGAGCCAAUGAGCAUGUAUGGUCCUUGGCCUUGCAGCGUGAGUGUCAUGUGGAAACCCUGAUGAAGCUAUGUCUUAGGCUCUACUGCAGAACUACUCGCUGGACCCUGAACUUCAUCAUGCUCCCAAAGACCCUUUCUAAAGUUUGAGGGGUGCUGUCCUUGAGCAUGAGGGGUGCUGUCCAUUCGAGCCUGGAGUCAGCUGUGUGAACUUGGACAUACUAUUUGACUUACCUGACUUCAGUUUCCUCUCCUGUCCAUAGGGGAUGGAUGAGGGGAAGAGAGCCUGGGGCUUGGUACGGAUCAGGGGCCUUGGAGGUCUUUCUCCCACAGGGUGGGUGCAGAGCCUAAAGGGAAGUAGACAGGACAAUAGUCAGUCCAGAUCAUAUGGGAACAUGCGGCUGCAGUCAUGGACAGGCAGCCGGGGAAAUACAGCCAUCACUGACUAAGAGGGAGCUGUGGGCUCUCUGUGAUGCCAGCCACCUGCCAAGCUAAGCCCAGCCCCCGUCACAGAGCACACUGCAUCCAAGUGCCAAUCAGCUGUAGCAAACCCCAGCGGGGCCCCAACAACAGGUGUCUCAUUAAACAUCUCUCACCCUCCCAGGCUUACCCACUGACAGGCACCAAACUCACACUCAAUCACUGCUUAAUCACAGCCAAACUCCAUUAACAAGUCAUACUAAUUACCAACUUCUAUCAGUGUCUCUAGUUUGGAGGCAAAAUAGCUUAUUCUUUUUAGAUAAAAACUGGCUUGUGAUCCUUCAGCAAGACCCAUAAUUAAGCUCUUUACAAAUGAAGGUCAAGGGAGGAGGCAGGGGAAAAGCUGAUAGACCCGGUGUGGCUGUGGUCCUGAAAGUGCAGGAUGGGAAGCUCUGUUUGUUUUAAUUUUGUGCUUGCUGGGUGGCCCACAAGGGUCCAAUUAGCUUGUUACAGAUGCUUGUACAGGUUCCAUCCUCUUGUCUUCUCCUUCUUUCCUCGCCCCCUCCCCUUUUUCUAUUAUUAUUAUUAUUUUUCCCUAGGAGGGAUAAACUUGUAGCACAGAUUGCAGGCCUGCAGGCAUCCAAAGAUCAACAACUAGUUUUCUGUGAUCCAACCCCCUGUGAACCAUGAACAAUCAUUUGCAGAAUUCCUAAUGCAUAGAAUGAGGCAAGGAGGAGCUUGGGUGGCUAGAAAAGUGUCCAGUUCACUUUCAGAAUGGCCAGAGGGUAGACAUUAUUCCCUAAAUACGAGUGACUUGGUAGACUGGAUUUUAAUUUUUUUCCCUUUUAA
Long non-coding RNA from Marmota flaviventris (yellow-bellied marmot), 1626 nucleotides. RefSeq lists it as uncharacterized. NCBI's taxonomy places the organism in Eukaryota, Metazoa, Chordata, Mammalia, Rodentia, Sciuridae. The record is from RefSeq and is a predicted model, not a curated record.